GCCUGUGAAAUGAAUCUAAGUUCCUCCUUAAUCUUACUCCACGGACAAACCUUCCAUAAGCCUAUAAUGAAGCAGAUUAAGAGCUAUUUAAAGGAGGUACAGCUCCUUUAAAAAAGAACACAAUCUCCCCUAGCGGAUAACCACCACCUAAUCCCUGUAUCUUUCAACUGUGGGCCUUCAAGCAGCCACCAAUAAAGAGUGCGUCAAAGCUCUGUAUUCAAAAAUCAAAAAACAGUAUGACUCCCUUAUCCCCAACAGGCCAACCUAUGACAAUAGGAGAAUCAAUGCUAAAAUAAGUAACUUAGGGUUAUACCCUCUUAAGCGCAAGCUUACAUCCCCACAUUAUUAACAGACCCCCUAAUACAACAACUCUAACAAGACUAGAUAUUGAUAAUGUCUGUUAACCCGACUCAGGAGCGCCCAUUAGAAAGAUUAAAAUCUGUAAAAGGAACUAGGCAAACCCCAGGGCCCGACUGUUUACCAAAAACAUAGCCUUCAGCCAUCCAAGUAUUGAAGGUGAUGCCUGCCCGGUGACACUGUUUAACGGCCGCGGUAUCCUA
RNAcentral lists this ribosomal RNA (560 nucleotides) under Plegadis ridgwayi (Puna ibis). RNAcentral describes it as "partial 16S ribosomal RNA". The record is from RNAcentral. Lineage: Eukaryota; Metazoa; Chordata; Aves; Pelecaniformes; Threskiornithidae.